Molecule: ribosomal RNA, 253 nt
Filed under: uncultured bacterium
Lineage: Bacteria
Description: partial 16S ribosomal RNA
Rfam family: Bacterial small subunit ribosomal RNA
Source: RNAcentral
UACGUAGGGUGCAAGCGUUAAUCGGAAUUACUGGGCGUAAAGCGUGCGCAGGUGGUUGUGCAAGACAGAUGUGAAAUCCCCGGGCUUAACCUGGGAAUUGCAUUUGUGACUGCACGGCUAGAGUGUGGUAGAGGGGGAUGGAAUUCCGCGUGUAGCAGUGAAAUGCGUAGAUAUGCGGAGGAACACCGAUGGCGAAGGCAAUCCCCUGGGCCUGCACUGACACUCAUGCACGAAAGCGUGGGGAGCAAACAGG